Molecule: long non-coding RNA, 990 nt
Organism: Ruditapes philippinarum (Manila clam)
Lineage: Eukaryota; Metazoa; Mollusca; Bivalvia; Venerida; Veneridae
Exons: 3
Source: RefSeq, a predicted model, not a curated record
UCAAAUGGACAAAUGUCUGACCAUCUUGACCGCAUCUUUAAUGCCUAAUAAUGAGCACUGGCUGAUUUAAGAGGCACAGUGACAACAUUUAAUUCCCUAAAAUUAUCAUUUAGCAAACAAAAUGAUGUUUAAACUGAAAUAUGAUUUCAAGACGUUUUGUCACUGUAAUUGAAUAAUUAAGAUAUAUUGACUACUUCUUUGUCGGAAAUUGAACUGUUGAAUUACUUAGGUAUUUUUCGAUUUUAUCACAAAUGAUUAAUGACCAGUUUUCGUAGGUGUAUAUGUUUGAAAAUUAGAGGCUAGAAGUUUGAAACCAUCAAUUAGUACUCUAAUUGUUUCUUCAUAAGUAAUGUAUCUUCUUACAGAAAUUCACUGCCGGAAUGAUACGGUAUUUGGGUGUAACUUAGCGGGGCGCACAUUUGUUUGACCAUGGUACGGAACCACAGCGGUGUAAAACUUUGGUGAGAUGACUUACAGAUAAAAAGAUGUUUAACAGUUACCUAUGAAGUUUCCAGCCCUUCUGUCCACUCACAUGUCCAGCUUAGCGUCAGCAAUCCUGAUGGAUGACCAUCCCAUAAUGCUCCCGGACAGGAAACAACUUUUGUUGCCAUGGGAGACAAGGAAAGCAUUCCUCAUUUGUGCCAGGAAUUUCUACAGAUGAACAAAACAGGUUGGAUGAUUUGAUGGAUCUGGUCGGGGAAAUGUGAUCACUUACCAAACAUAAAUAUUUACCCAGCAAUGACUCUGGUGUGUUCAAAGAUACAUGUAUCCCCCAACAUAACAUACCUUGCCACCAGGUACCACAUCAGGUAAUUAAUUACAGGUAUAAACAAGGCUAGCCCUGGUUCUCUUGAUCUGCUGAUGUAUGGGGGCAGCAUGAUAGAAAUGUUUUUGGUAUCUGUAAGUAGACAACUAUAAACAGAAGCUGUCUGGUGAUUUAUGCCAAAAGAGAAACACUUGUUACCCCAUUUUAUUGCCUGACCAGCACAC